UCCAGGCCUGAAUUCUGGCAAUGGAUUGCUGGUUGGAAAGAAAAAGCACCACUUCCUGCUUGGCUCAUAAAAAUCCCCCAAGUGCGCUCUUUUCUUCUUUUCUCCAUCUGCUGGCUUACUGGGGAGGACUCCAGAGACCUAUGAGAAACAAGAACUUUAAGACAGAAAAAGCCUUGAACAGAGUCUGCUGCCACCCCAUCAGAUGUAAGCAAGAAAUAACAUUUAUUUUGGCUCCAGUUGACCUUGAUGGGGUACUGUUCAUUGGUGUGAAUUUCCCUUCCGUGAGGUUCCAUCUGUCAGACUGAACUCUGCCUGCUUGGAGUUGACCAAUGACAAAUGAGCAUGAGGAAUAUGAAUCUAAAGACAACUUUUUCCUGCUUCUAGAGAUA
Lagenorhynchus albirostris (white-beaked dolphin) is the source of this 389-nucleotide long non-coding RNA. RefSeq lists it as uncharacterized. NCBI's taxonomy places the organism in Eukaryota, Metazoa, Chordata, Mammalia, Artiodactyla, Delphinidae. The transcript is spliced from 3 exons. The record is from RefSeq and is a predicted model, not a curated record.